UUCAAGGAUGAAAGACGGUUUCGGCUGUCACUUACAGAUGGACCCGCGGCGCAUUAGCUAGUUGGUGGGGUAAUGGCUCACCAAGGCGACGAUGCGUAGCCGACCUGAGAGGGUGAUCGGCCACACUGGGACUGAGACACGGCCCAGACUCCUACGGGAGGCAGCAGUAGGGAAUCUUCCGCAAUGGACGAAAGUCUGACGGAGCAACGCCGCGUGAGUGAUGAAGGUUUUCGGAUCGUAAAGCUCUGUUGUUAGGGAAGAACAAGUGCGAGAGUAACUGCUCGCACCUUGACGGUACCUAACCAGAAAGCCACGGCUAACUACGUGCCAGCAGCCGCGGUAAUUCGUAGGUGGCAAGCGUUGUCCGGAAUUAUUGGGCGUAAAGGGCUCGCAGGCGGUUUCUUAAGUCUGAUGUGAAAGCCCCCGGCUCAACCGGGGAGGGUCAUUGGAAACUGGGAAACUUGAGUGCAGAAGAGGAGAGUGGAAUUCCACGUGUAGCGGUGAAAUGCGUAGAGAUGUGGAGGAACACCAGUGGCGAAGGCGACUCUCUGGUCUGUAACUGACGCUGA
RNAcentral lists this ribosomal RNA (569 nucleotides) under Bacillus pumilus. Its description in RNAcentral is "bacterial SSU rRNA". It matches the Rfam family "Bacterial small subunit ribosomal RNA", at positions 193 to 749 of the family's 1533-position model. The record is from RNAcentral. Lineage: Bacteria; Bacillati; Bacillota; Bacilli; Caryophanales; Bacillaceae.